RNAcentral lists this transfer RNA (74 nucleotides) under Fimbriiglobus ruber. It matches the Rfam family "tRNA". From Rfam's summary of the family: Transfer RNA (tRNA) molecules are approximately 80 nucleotides in length. Lineage: Bacteria; Pseudomonadati; Planctomycetota; Planctomycetia; Gemmatales; Gemmataceae. The record is from Rfam by way of RNAcentral.
CGGGGCGUGGGCCAGGUGGAGUGGCCGCGAGUUUCGGGAACUCGAGAGCGCGGGUUCGACUCCCGCCGCCCCGA